This 253-nucleotide ribosomal RNA is filed under the name uncultured bacterium. RNAcentral describes it as "partial 16S ribosomal RNA". It matches the Rfam family "Bacterial small subunit ribosomal RNA", at positions 524 to 776 of the family's 1533-position model. The record is from RNAcentral.
UACAGAGGGUGCAAGCGUUGUUCGGAAUUACUGGGCGUAAAGGGCGCGUAGGCGGCCUGUUAAGUCGAACGUGAAAUCCCCGGGCUCAACCCGGGAACUGCGUCCGAUACUGGCAGGCUUGAAUUCGGGAGAGGGAUGUGGAAUUCCAGGUGUAGCGGUGAAAUGCGUAGAUAUCUGGAGGAACACCGGUGGCGAAGGCGGCAUCCUGGACCGAUAUUGACGCUGAUGCGCGAAAGCCAGGGGAGCAAACGGG